UCUAAAAAGGCAAAUACAUUUUCUACUGUAAGGAAAUGAUUGGUCAUAUUUUUACCCUUAUUGCAAAGUUUGCUUUUAGACACACCUGGUUUUGGACAGAAUCAGUCAAAAAUAACUGGGGUUUUUCAGACUUUUGAGUUUUUAAAGAUGAACGUUUGUAAAUGUAAGCAGCAUUUUUUCUGAUGACGUUUCUUUGUUUUGCAGGUCAGAAUGAGGGGACUCUGACGAUGGCAGAGGAUGAGGUGCUGUACAUCAUCGAAGAGGACAAAGGCGACGGCUGGACGCGGGCCAGGAAGCAGAGUGGCGAGGAAGGCUACAUUCCCACUUCCUACGUAGAAAUCACCAUCGAGAAAAACAGCAAAGGUGCCGUGACGUACAUCUGAGGCGCCGGCGCCUCCUGUCUGUCGUUGCCUCCAUGUUUGCCUUCUAGCGUCAGCGUGGCGCCGCAGCAUCCAAACGCCGUCCGUCCCCCUGGACCGGUGCUGGGAGGGACAAACGGGACAAACCUGCUGAGCUCAGUAUCAAUCAGAUUAUUUGAGAUAACGUUAUGUAAUAUAUUAGAAACUUUUUAUUUUAUUUUUUGGAUGAAACAAUCAAGUUCCCUGAUUUUAAGCUCUCUUUGUGUUUUUUUGUGCAUUUUUGCACUAUUUUGUUAUCUGUGCCAUCCUGCCGGUUUGUCUUCAUUAAUGCAGUUUUUAUUCACACAAGUUCAUUUCAUGCAGUUUUUUAAGAAGUAAAAUAUUAAGAUGACUUUUUAUGCUUUUCUUCCUGCAAACAAUUCCCACCACAAACUGAGCUGCUUACACCUGCAGAGUUUCAGGAAAGUUUAUUUUAUCUUUUUUAGAUUUGCAGAGUUUUGUGCAGCCUCGUUCUGACCUCAUGCUUUCUCUUCAAUAGUUAUUAUUAUUACCAACAUUUAAAAACUUUAGGUACUUUCUCUUAGCGUUUAUUAAUAAUUGUACAAAAUUCUGAUUCUUAAAGUUUCUUGAUAGAAGUUGCUGCACAAAUGAACAUUUCCUUGUUUUCUGCAGAGUUCACAGUUCAGUUUGUGCAUAAAAUGAGCAAAUGUGAGGAUUUAGCCUGGUGGUUUGGUGGGGAUUCGGUGGAAGGAAGAAAAGCAACAUGGCCGUCUUUUAGGAUCUGGUUUCAUGUUCAGUAAGAAGGAUGUUUGUAUGAAGUUUGCAGGAUUAUUUCAAUAAUUCAGAUUUUAUUCUGCUGUGUGUUUCUUUUUGGUUUGUUCCAAAUCCAAGCUUUUAUUGUCUGUUUGGCAUAAACAAAUUAAAAUACUUGAAAGAA
Molecule: long non-coding RNA, 1296 nt
Organism: Poecilia latipinna (sailfin molly)
Lineage: Eukaryota; Metazoa; Chordata; Actinopteri; Cyprinodontiformes; Poeciliidae
Exons: 2
Source: RefSeq, a predicted model, not a curated record